This 495-nucleotide ribosomal RNA is filed under the name uncultured bacterium. RNAcentral describes it as "partial 16S ribosomal RNA". It matches the Rfam family "Bacterial small subunit ribosomal RNA", at positions 30 to 507 of the family's 1533-position model. The record is from RNAcentral.
CGAACUCUGGCGGCGUGCCUAAUACAUGCAAGUUGAGCGCUGAAGGUUGGUACUUGUACCGACUGGAUGAGCAGCGAACGGGUGAGUAACGCGUGGGGAAUCUGCCUUUGAGCGGGGGACAACAUUUGGAAACGAAUGCUAAUACCGCAUAAAAACUUUAAACACAAGUUUUAAGUUUGAAAGAUGCAAUUGCAUCACUCAAAGAUGAUCCCGCGUUGUAUUAGCUAGUUGGUGAGGUAAAGGCUCACCAAGGCGAUGAUACAUAGCCGACCUGAGAGGGUGAUGGGCCACAUUGGGACUGAGACACGGCCCAAACUCCUACGGGAGGCAGCAGUAGGGAAUCUUCGGCAAUGGACGAAAGUCUGACCGAGCAACGCCGCGUGAGUGAAGAAGGUUUUCGGAUCGUAAAACUCUGUUGGUAGAGAAGAACGUUGGUGAGAGUGGAAAGCUCAUCAAGUGACGGUAACUACCCAGAAAGGGACGGCUAACUACGUG